This 253-nucleotide ribosomal RNA is filed under the name uncultured bacterium. RNAcentral's name for it is "partial 16S ribosomal RNA". It matches the Rfam family "Bacterial small subunit ribosomal RNA", at positions 524 to 776 of the family's 1533-position model. The record is from RNAcentral.
UACGGGGGGGGCGAGCGUUGUUCGGAAUUACUGGGCGUAAAGGGCUCGUAGGUGGCCAACUAAGUCGGACGUGAAAUCCCUCAGCUUAACUGGGGAACUGCGUCCGAUACUGGAUGGCUUGAGUUUGGGAGAGGGAUGCGGAAUUCCAGGUGUAGCGGUGAAAUGCGUAGAUAUCAGGAGGAACACCGGUGGCGAAGGCGCUGCUCUGGGCCGGUACUGACGCUGAGGAGCGAAAGCGUGGGUAGCAAACAGG